Molecule: long non-coding RNA, 110 nt
Organism: Rhipicephalus microplus (southern cattle tick)
Lineage: Eukaryota; Metazoa; Arthropoda; Arachnida; Ixodida; Ixodidae
Source: RefSeq, a predicted model, not a curated record
GACUUUUCCUUUGUUCUGCCUUUUAGGGUUUGGGUGCCAGUGAUGAACUGCCGCUGUUUUUCCAGGUGGACAAUCAAAUUCACCUAGGAAACGGCAUAUUCCUGGAGCAG